CUAGCAGGCUUGUUCGGUGACAUUUCGUUCAUCCGUCGGCCUCUCCUCUCAGAUUCGUCGUCGGUUCGUUCGGUGUCGCUCGACUUGUGAUGGGAAGACGCAUGAGUGGUCGCCGGGAUAAUGUUCCGCACAGGCUCCAUGCUUCUGGCAUCGAGCUGCGUUAGCGUAUCCCCUUCAUUUGUGGGCUCGCGUCGGCGUUUCGAGCGUCGGUUGCGACCUCUCGUCGGGUUCUUGCGCUUGAUAUCGCAGUCGAAAGUCGGAACGAAUCCAUACCCUUGUUGUGGUUUGUCGGUCCUCAGUCGCCUCGCGCGGCGUCGGUGGUCAUUUUGCUGGCGUUGGCCUUCGCCUUCCGGGCCGUAGCCCCCUUUUGCCGGGCUCAUGCUCGUAACGGAGCAUCGAUGCUACGGGCUCUUUCGCUUACGGAGAAUUUUUGGUUAUCGCAUCGGUCCGCGACCUUUGUGAGCGUAACGUUUCGAAGCAUCCCCACUUCUGCUAGUACGACUCUCGUUCUCGUCUUGGGGCUUGCGAAGCCUCUUCGUUCCACGUUCUUCUCGGGGAGCCAUCGAGGUCAUCAACGGAAUGCUACCUGGUUGAUCCUGCCAGUAGUCAU
RNAcentral lists this unclassified non-coding RNA (610 nucleotides) under Medinilla constricta. RNAcentral's name for it is "Pachycentria constricta partial contains external transcribed spacer and small subunit ribosomal RNA". Lineage: Eukaryota; Viridiplantae; Streptophyta; Magnoliopsida; Myrtales; Melastomataceae. The record is from RNAcentral.